CAAGGGUUUGGCUGUUCGCCAAUUAAAGCGGUACGCGAGCUGGGUUCAGAACGUCGUGAGACAGUUCGGUCCCUAUCUGUCGUGGGCGUAGGAGAAUUGAGAGGAGCUGUUCCUAGUACGAGAGGACCGGAACGGAGCGACCAACGGUGUACCUGUUGUCCUGCCAAGGGCAUCGCAGGGUAGCCGAGUCGCGAAGGGAUAACCGCUGAAAGCAUCUAAGUGGGAAGCCCACCUCAAGAUGAGUUCUCCCCUCUUCGGAGAUAAGUCCCCUUGAAGACGACGAGGUUGAUAGGCCGGAAGUGGAAGCGCGGUGACGCGUGGAGCUAACCGGUACUAAUCGGACGAAGGACUUGAUCUACAA
This 361-nucleotide ribosomal RNA is filed under the name Candidatus Omnitrophota bacterium. RNAcentral's name for it is "partial 23S ribosomal RNA". It matches the Rfam family "Bacterial large subunit ribosomal RNA", at positions 2566 to 2925 of the family's 2925-position model. The record is from RNAcentral. Lineage: Bacteria; Pseudomonadati; Candidatus Omnitrophota.